GUGUCAGCAGCCGCGGUAACACGUAGGGGGCGAGCGUUGUCCGGAUUUACUGGGCGUAAAGAGCUCGUAGGCGGUUCGGCAAGUCGGGUGUGACAGCUCCAGGCUCAACCUGGAGAGGUCACUCGAUACUGCUGUGACUAGAGUCCGGUAGGGGAGUAUGGAAUUCCCGGUGUAGCGGUGAAAUGCGCAGAUAUCGGGAGGAACACCAGUGGCGAAGGCGGUACUCUGGGCCGGAACUGACGCUGAGGAGCGAAAGCGUGGGUAGCAAACAGGAUUAGAUACCCUGGUAGUCC
Molecule: ribosomal RNA, 293 nt
Filed under: uncultured bacterium
Lineage: Bacteria
Description: partial 16S ribosomal RNA
Rfam family: Bacterial small subunit ribosomal RNA
Source: RNAcentral